CCCCUAGAUGUUCUGGGCCGCACGCGCGCUACACUGAACAGUUCAACAAGUCUUAACCUUGGCCGAUAGGUCUGGGUAAUCUUUGAACGCUGUUCGUGAUUGGGAUAGACCUUUGCAAUUAUGGGUCUUCAACGAGGAAUUCCUAGUAAACGCAAGUCAUCAGCUUGCAUUGAUUACGUCCCUGCCCUUUGUACACACCGCCCGUCGCACCUACCGAUUGAAUGGUCCGGUGAAAUCUCGGGACGGCGGCUUGGUCGCUCGCGUCCGACUGCUGAAACUUGAUUAAACCAUAUCAUUUAGAGGAAGGUGAAGUCGUANCA
This 320-nucleotide ribosomal RNA is filed under the name uncultured eukaryote. RNAcentral describes it as "partial 18S ribosomal RNA". It matches the Rfam family "Eukaryotic small subunit ribosomal RNA", at positions 1470 to 1796 of the family's 1831-position model. The record is from RNAcentral.